Molecule: ribosomal RNA, 253 nt
Filed under: uncultured bacterium
Lineage: Bacteria
Description: partial 16S ribosomal RNA
Rfam family: Bacterial small subunit ribosomal RNA
Source: RNAcentral
UACGGAGGGGGCUAGCGUUGUUCGGAAUUACUGGGCGUAAAGCGCACGUAGGCGGACUGUUAAGUCGGGGGUGAAAUCCUGGGGCUCAACCUCAGAAUUGCCUCCGAUACUGGCAGUCUCGAGUGCGGGAGAGGUGAGUGGAAUUCCCAGUGUAGAGGUGAAAUUCGUAGAUAUUGGGAAGAACACCAGUGGCGAAGGCGGGUCUCUGGACAGUUCCUGACGCUGAGGCGCGAAGGCCAGGGGAGCAAACGGG